This 240-nucleotide ribosomal RNA is filed under the name uncultured bacterium. RNAcentral describes it as "partial 16S ribosomal RNA". It matches the Rfam family "Bacterial small subunit ribosomal RNA", at positions 111 to 353 of the family's 1533-position model. The record is from RNAcentral.
UAAUGUCUGGGAGACUGCCUGAUGAGGGGGAUAACUACUGGAAACGGUAGCUAAUACCGCAUAAUGUCGCAAGACCAAAGAGGGGGACCUUCGGGCCUCUUGCCAUCGGAUGUGCCCAGAUGGGAUUAGCUUGUUGGUGGGGUAACGGCUCACCAAGGCGACGAUCCCUAGCUGGUCUGAGAGGAUGACCAGCCACACUGGAACUGAGACACGGUCCAGACUCCUACGGGAGGCAGCAUG